GUAGGGUGCGAGCGUUAAUCGGAAUUACUGGGCGUAAAGCGUGCGCAGGCGGUUCCAUAAGACAGAUGUGAAAUCCCCGGGCUUAACCUGGGAACUGCGUUUGUGACUGUGGGACUCGAGUGUGGCAGAGGGGGGUGGAAUUCCACGUGUAGCAGUGAAAUGCGUAGAGAUGUGGAGGAACACCGAUGGCGAAGGCAGCCCCCUGGGUCAACACUGACGCUCAUGCACGAAAGCGUGGGGAGCAAAC
This 247-nucleotide ribosomal RNA is filed under the name uncultured Sterolibacterium sp. RNAcentral's name for it is "partial 16S ribosomal RNA". It matches the Rfam family "Bacterial small subunit ribosomal RNA", at positions 527 to 773 of the family's 1533-position model. Lineage: Bacteria; Pseudomonadati; Pseudomonadota; Betaproteobacteria; Nitrosomonadales; Sterolibacteriaceae. The record is from RNAcentral.